Zalophus californianus (California sea lion) is the source of this 963-nucleotide long non-coding RNA. RefSeq lists it as uncharacterized. Lineage: Eukaryota; Metazoa; Chordata; Mammalia; Carnivora; Otariidae. The record is from RefSeq and is a predicted model, not a curated record. The transcript has 3 exons.
GGUGGUGCCUCACUGCCAGACCCCACUACGGGAGGGCAGGCCUGAAAUGUUUCAGUUAGGAAAUGGGAGUGGUGCUGGAGAAGGUGAGGAGUUUCCACACCUCAUCCGGUGUGGCAAUUCAGCCUACACCAGGUCCAGCCAACACAGCAACUGGCCAGUGUUCUUGGCAAAUCUGGGUAUAGUUGUAUGGCCAAGAAGUUUGUUUUAAUCUGGUGAUAUGCAUACCAGUGUGGGACAGGAGGUCUGGCGGCUAAUCUGGCUUCUCAAUAAGUUAGUCACUGUCCCUGUCCUGGGCUGUCCUGAGAAGGGCAGAGCCAAGCCUUGAGUACCUGCCAGGCAGGGUGUGAGAUGUUGAGGGCAGACACCCUGUGCAUUUGUCUCAGUAACUCAGCGUCUCAGUAGUAAACUGGUGCUUUGUCAAUGUUGUAAGAUUUGUCAAAUUCACAUAUACUCCUCCUGUUUCUGUGGGUUUGCAGCUUUUUCUCUGUCUUCGGGAAAGAACAUUCUGGCUUUCUGUGGGGAACUGCCCUGCCACAGUUCCCUCUUGUCUUCGUGGGACAGUCACAGAGCGCAGCUAAACAGUCUCUGCCGGUCUACAAAACAACACCCUUUGGCUGCAGGAUGUUUUCCCCCACAAAGAAAUGCUGACUAACUGAAAAAAGGAAGAAGAUAAAGGAAAGAUAUGAAGACCACACCACAGCUUUAACCUUGGUGAUUAGGGAGGGACAGCAUUGUUGUGUUAAGAUGUUGGGGAAGAGAGGAAUUUGAUACUAAUACUGUUUGUCGCUUGCAUUUCUCCCCCAAAUACCUUUAGUCAAUGAUUCCACUUAAUGUAACAUUUUAACUACAAAUGGUUUCUAUUAAAAAAGUGUUUGUCAGUCUGGCUUUGAUCAGCAGUUUUAAACAACUGGAUGGAUUCCCAGCCUUAACUGUUUUCCCAGAAAAGCUGCCUUCUCCCACAUA